RNAcentral lists this ribosomal RNA (501 nucleotides) under uncultured bacterium. RNAcentral's name for it is "partial 16S ribosomal RNA". It matches the Rfam family "Bacterial small subunit ribosomal RNA", at positions 30 to 523 of the family's 1533-position model. The record is from RNAcentral.
AUUGAACGCUGGCGGCAGGCUUAACACAUGCAAGUCGAGCGGGGGAAGGUAGCUUGCUACCGGACCUAGCGGCGGACGGGUGAGUAAUGCUUAGGAAUCUGCCUAUUAGUGGGGGACAACAUUUCGAAAGGGAUGCUAAUACCGCAUACGUCCUACGGGAGAAAGCAGGGGAUCUUCGGACCUUGCGCUAAUAGAUGAGCCUAAGUCGGAUUAGCCAGUUGGUGGGGUAAAGGCCUACCAAGGCGACGAUCUGUAGCGGGUAUGAGAGGAUGAUCCGCCACACUAGGACUGAGAAACGGCCCAGACUCCUACGGGAUGCAGCAGUGGGGAAUAUUGGACAAUGGGGGGAACCCUGAUCCAGCCAUGCCGCGUGUGUGAAGAAGGCCUUAUGGUUGUAAAGCACUUUAAGCGAGGAGGAGGCUACUUUAGUUAAUACCUAGAGAUAGUGGACGUUACUCGCAGAAUAAGCACCGGCUAACUCUGUGCCAGCCGCCGCAGUAA